RNAcentral lists this ribosomal RNA (608 nucleotides) under Cronius ruber. RNAcentral describes it as "partial 16S ribosomal RNA". It matches the Rfam family "Archaeal large subunit ribosomal RNA", at positions 1943 to 2844 of the family's 2987-position model. The record is from RNAcentral. Lineage: Eukaryota; Metazoa; Arthropoda; Malacostraca; Decapoda; Portunidae.
AGUCUAGCCUGCUCACUGAUAUUAACAUUAAAUAGCCGCGGUAUCAUGACCGUGCAAAGGUAGCAUAAUCAUUAGUUCUUUAAUUGAGAACUUGUAUGAAUGGUUGGACAAGGAAAAGACUGUCUCUCUUGUUUAAAUUGAAUUUAACUUUUAAGUGAAAAGGCUUAGAUUAUCUAGAGGGACGAUAAGACCCUAUAAAGCUUUAUAAGUUUAUGUAUUUUAUAUAUUUUAUAAUAAGGAUAAUUUUCGGAAAACUUAUUUGGUUGGGGCGACAAGAGUAUAAUUAAUAUAACUGCUAUUAAAUUAAACAAUAAUUUUUGAAUUUUAUAAAUGAUCCUUCUUAAAGAUUAAAGAUCAAGUUACUUUAGGGAUAACAGCGUUAUUUUUCCAGAGAGCCCUUAUCAAAGGGAAAGUUUGCGACCUCGAUGUUGAAUUAAAAUGUCUUUAUAGUGCAGCAGCUAUAAAAGAAGGUCUGUUCGACCUUUAAUAUUUUACAUGAUUUGAGUUCAGACCGGCGUGAGCCAGGUCGGUUUCUAUCUUCUAGAAAUUAAAUGUAAUAUUUUAGUACGAAAGGAUUAAAUAUUAAAAAUUUUUUUAAACUUUGAAAU